UGGGGAAUUUUGGACAAUGGGGGAAACCCUGAUCCAGCCAUCCCGCGUGUGCGAUGAAGGCCUUCGGGUUGUAAAGCACUUUUGGCAGGAAAGAAACGUCAUGGGUUAAUACCCCGUGAAACUGACGGUACCUGCAGAAUAAGCACCGGCUAACUACGUGCCAGCAGCCGCGGUAAUACGUAGGGUGCAAGCGUUAAUCGGAAUUACUGGGCGUAAAGCGUGCGCAGGCGGUUCGGAAAGAAAGAUGUGAAAUCCCAGAGCUCAACUUUGGAACUGCAUUUUUAACUACCGGGCUAGAGUGUGUCAGAGGGAGGUGGAAUUCCGCGUGUAGCAGUGAAAUGCGUAGUUAUGCGGAGGAACACCGAUGGCGAAGGCAGCCUCCUGGGAUAUCACUGACGCUCAUGCACGAAAGCGUGGGGAGCAAACAGG
RNAcentral lists this ribosomal RNA (429 nucleotides) under Acidobacteriota bacterium. RNAcentral's name for it is "Acidobacteria bacterium partial 16S ribosomal RNA". It matches the Rfam family "Bacterial small subunit ribosomal RNA", at positions 355 to 776 of the family's 1533-position model. The record is from RNAcentral. Lineage: Bacteria; Pseudomonadati; Acidobacteriota.